GUGCUGGCUUUGUCGUGUGGGUACUUCGUAAACUCGUUGGUUACAAUUUGUUCUGUCAAAUGCGGGUUCGAAUCCCGCACCCCUUGCGACCCACUGACGCCAUCCGGCACUUUU
This 114-nucleotide vault RNA is filed under the name Branchiostoma floridae (Florida lancelet). It matches the Rfam family "Vault RNA". From Rfam's summary of the family: This family of RNAs are found as part of the enigmatic vault ribonucleoprotein complex. The complex consists of a major vault protein (MVP), two minor vault proteins (VPARP and TEP1), and several small untranslated RNA molecules. The record is from Rfam by way of RNAcentral. Lineage: Eukaryota; Metazoa; Chordata; Leptocardii; Amphioxiformes; Branchiostomatidae.